CGUAACAAGGUCUCCGUAGGUGAACCUGCGGAGGGAUCAUUACACAAAUAUGAAGGCGGGCUGGAACCUCUCGGGGUUACAGCCUUGCUGAAUUAUUCACCCUUGUCUUUUGCGUACUUCUUGUUUCCUUGGUGGGUUCGCCCACCACUAGGACAAACAUAAACCUUUUGUAAUUGCAAUCAGCGUCAGUAACAAAUUAAUAAUUACAACUUUCAACAACGGAUCUCUUGGUUCUGGCAUCGAUGAAGAACGCAGCGAAAUGCGAUAAGUAGUGUGAAUUGCAGAAUUCAGUGAAUCAUCGAAUCUUUGAACGCACAUUGCGCCCUUUGGUAUUCCAAAGGGCAUGCCUGUUCGAGCGUCAUUUGUACCCUCAAGCUUUGCUUGGUGUUGGGCGUCUUGUCUCUAGCUUUGCUGGAGACUCGCCUUAAAGUAAUUGGCAGCCGGCCUACUGGUUUCGGAGCGCAGCACAAGUCGCACUCUCUAUCAGCAAAGGUCUAGCAUCCAUUAAGCCUUUUUUCAACUUUUGACCUCGGAUCAGGUAGGGAUACCCGCUGAACUUAAGCAUAUCA
RNAcentral lists this ribosomal RNA (569 nucleotides) under uncultured fungus. RNAcentral's name for it is "eukaryotic LSU rRNA". The stretch from base 208 to 361 matches the Rfam family "5.8S ribosomal RNA". Lineage: Eukaryota; Fungi. The record is from RNAcentral.